Molecule: long non-coding RNA, 292 nt
Organism: Colossoma macropomum (tambaqui)
Lineage: Eukaryota; Metazoa; Chordata; Actinopteri; Characiformes; Serrasalmidae
Exons: 3
Source: RefSeq, a predicted model, not a curated record
UAAAGGAGAACGAGUUCAGCAUUUCUGUUUCUUAUCAACUCAUACCAUCAAGAAUCUAGCAGAAGUACAGAACCUUUUGGAACCAGUGGGCACUAUUGUGUGAGGGAGAUGGAGUUGGUGGUAAAGUUGUUUGCCACUGCAGCUGCCAUGAAGAGGAUGCCCACCCUACUGGUGAGAAAAACAGCAAGCUGUAUUGAAUGCUGGAUGGUCAGUCGUAAGGGACACAUCACCUAUAAGGGCAUGCAGGCAACUUUAUUGACCAUUCUGUGUUUUACAGAAGCAGGAUGCAUGU